RNAcentral lists this ribosomal RNA (440 nucleotides) under uncultured bacterium. RNAcentral describes it as "partial 16S ribosomal RNA". It matches the Rfam family "Bacterial small subunit ribosomal RNA", at positions 338 to 795 of the family's 1533-position model. The record is from RNAcentral.
CCUACGGGUGGCAGCAGUGGGGAAUAUUGCACAAUGGGGGAAACCCUGAUGCAGCGACGCCGCGUGAGUGAUGACGUCCCUCGUUAUGUAAAGCUUCAUUUGUAGGGAAGUAACAGAUGCUACGUGAGUAAUUAGCUACGGCUAACUACGUGCCAGCAGCCGCGGUAACACGGAGGGGGCCAGCGUUAUCCGGAUUUACUGGGUGUAAAGGGAGCGUAGUGGGAGAAGAAAGUCUGAAGUGAAAGAGCGCGGCUUAACCGCAGAACUGCAUUUGAAACUGUUUGUCUGGAGUACCGGAGAGGUAAGCGGAAUUCGUGGUGUAGCGGUGAAAUGCGUAGAUAUUACGAAGAACACCGAUGGCGAAGGCAGCUUACUGGACGGUAACUGACGUUGAGGCUCGAAAGCGUGGGGAGCAAACAGGAUUAGAUACCCCAGUAGUC